AGGGAAUCUUCCGCAAUGGACGAAAGUCUGACGGAGCAACGCCGCGUGAGUGAUGAAGGCCUUCGGGUCGUAAAACUCUGUUGUUAGGGAAGAACAAGUACCGGAGUAACUGCCGGUACCUUGACGGCACCUAACCAGAAAGCCACGGCUAAUUACGUGCCAGCAGCCGCGGUAAUACGUAGGUGGCAAGCGUUGUCCGGAAUUAUUGGGCGUAAAGCGCGCGCAGGCGGUCCUUUAAGUCUGAUGUGAAAGCCCACGGCUCAACCGUGGAGGGUCAUUGGAAACUGGGGGACUUGAGUGCAGAAGAGGAAAGCGGAAUUCCACGUGUAGCGGUGAAAUGCGUAGAGAUGUGGAGGAACACCAGUGGCGAAGGCGACUCUCUGGGCUGUAACUGACGCUGAGGCGCGAAAGCGUGGGGAGCAAAC
Molecule: ribosomal RNA, 425 nt
Filed under: uncultured bacterium
Lineage: Bacteria
Description: bacterial SSU rRNA
Rfam family: Bacterial small subunit ribosomal RNA
Source: RNAcentral